GCGCUCUUAGUUCAGUUCGGUAGAACGUGUGUCUCCAAAACCCAAUGUUGUAGGUUCAAAUCCUACAGAGCAUG
RNAcentral lists this transfer RNA (74 nucleotides) under Triticum aestivum (bread wheat). It matches the Rfam family "tRNA". From Rfam's summary of the family: Transfer RNA (tRNA) molecules are approximately 80 nucleotides in length. The record is from Rfam by way of RNAcentral. RNAcentral also lists the same sequence under 1 other name. Lineage: Eukaryota; Viridiplantae; Streptophyta; Magnoliopsida; Poales; Poaceae.